GCUUUUUUAAAAACAUUAAAAAGAAUAUUAUCAAAGCUUAGAUUUUUGUUAUUUUAUAAAUAUGGUGUUUGAUGUUGGCUCAGGGUUAACGCUACUACUAAAUAUAACGCAUGCUAGUGCCAAAUUAAAUAAACAUUAUUUGGCGCGCCUUGGUGAGUACGGUCUAGUCUCUGCCUAUUUGAAAAGAUAGAUGAGUCGGGCUUAACAAUAAACGCCUGUUACGGGUAGUUUGUUUAAAUUGAUUUUUGUUGAAGCAUCAGUCACUUGCGGGGUUCGAGUGUCCCUUAUAACAGCAGCGGGGAAUAUUUAACAAUGUACUUUAGUAUGAUUUAGUUAUAGUAGCUUACUGGGGAAGUAGUAUUCGCCUAUUUUUUACUAAUAAACAUAAUGAGGGUCGUGUAAAACAGUUAUGGCCAAUACAUGUGCCAGCAGCCGCGGUAAUACAUGAGUAAUAAAGCGUUAUCCUUAUUAGUC
Molecule: ribosomal RNA, 474 nt
Filed under: uncultured bacterium
Lineage: Bacteria
Description: partial 16S ribosomal RNA
Rfam family: Bacterial small subunit ribosomal RNA (bases 57-474)
Source: RNAcentral